Molecule: long non-coding RNA, 431 nt
Filed under: Ananas comosus (pineapple)
Lineage: Eukaryota; Viridiplantae; Streptophyta; Magnoliopsida; Poales; Bromeliaceae
Description: long non-coding RNA (ACOM_LNC026986)
Source: RNAcentral
AAAUCGGCCGAUUUGACGUAAUUGUAAAGCAUUAUUAUUUCUUAAUAACUUAUAAAAUGUUAAAUGAAAUUUAAGUUUUGUUUAGAUGUUAGAAUAAGAUAUCGAAUCAUACGCUAUAAAUUAAGUUAUUUUUGUGUGAUUUGAAGCUUGAAGUUUAAUUUUUGUAAAUCUUAUCAUUUAUGAUUUGGUGGGAUAGCACAUUUCAUCGACGAGGUGAUUUAUUUUAUUUUUAAAAAAUAAUUUGAAGGUUGAUUAUGAUUUUCAUUUUAGACAUUUGAUCAUAACUUCUUAUCCACCAAAUACUACAAAUUUCUUGAGUAACAUUAUAUACUUAAAUAUACAAAUAUAUUAUUCGGUAUAUCUCUUUGAUUUUAUCCAACACAUAUGCAAUAUUUAAUAAUUGAGGAGUGUGACUAAAUAUCUAAAAGAUA